GGGCGCACGGUGGAUGCCUUGACACUAGGAGUCGAUGAAGGACGGGACUAACGCCGAUAUGCUUCGGGGAGCUGUAAGUAAGCUUUGAUCCGAAGAUUUCCGAAUGGGGAAACCCACCAUACGUAAUGGUAUGGUAUCCUUAUCUGAAUACAUAGGAUAAGGAAGACAGACCCAGGGAACUGAAACAUCUAAGUACCUGGAGGAAGAGAAAGCAAAUGCGAUUUCCUGAGUAGCGGCGAGCGAAACGGAACAUAGCCCAAACCAAGAGGCUUGCCUCUUGGGGUUGUAGGACAUUCUAUACGGAGUUACAAAGGAACGAGGUAGACGAAGCGACCUGGAAAGGUCCGUCGUAGAGGGUAACAACCCCGUAGUCGAAACUUCGUUCUCUCUUGAAUGUAUCCUGAGUACGGCGGAACACGUGAAAUUCCGUCGGAAUCUGGGAGGACCAUCUCCCAAGGCUAAAUACUCCCUAGUGAUCGAUAGUGAACCAGUACCGUGAGGGAAAGGUGAAAAGCACCCCGGAAGGGGAGUGAAAGAGAUCCUGAAACCGUGUGCCUACAAAUAGUCAGAGCCCGUUAACGGGUGAUGGCGUGCCUUUUGUAGAAUGAACCGGCGAGUUACGAUCCCGUGCGAGGUUAAGCUGAAGAGGCGGAGCCGCAGCGAAAGCGAGUCUGAAUAGGGCGUUUAGUACGUGGUCGUAGACCCGAAACCAGGUGAUCUACCCAUGUCCAGGGUGAAGUUCAGGUAACACUGAAUGGAGGCCCGAACCCACGCACGUUGAAAAGUGCGGGGAUGAGGUGUGGGUAGCGGAGAAAUUCCAAUCGAACCUGGAGAUAGCUGGUUCUCCCCGAAAUAGCUUUAGGGCUAGCCUUAAGUGUAAGAGUCUUGGAGGUAGAGCACUGAUUGGACUAGGGGUCCUCAUCGGAUUACCGAAUUCAGUCAAACUCCGAAUGCCAAUGACUUAUCCUUAGGAGUCAGACUGCGAGUGAUAAGAUCCGUAGUCAAAAGGGAAACAGCCCAGACCGCCMGCUAAGGUCCCAAAGUGUGUAUUAAGUGGAAAAGGAUGUGGAGUUGCUUAGACAACUAGGAUGUUGGCUUAGAAGCAGCCACCAUUUAAAGAGUGCGUAAUAGCUCACUAGUCGAGUGACUCUGCGCCGAAAAUGUACCGGGGCUAAAUACACCACCGAAGCUGCGGAUUGAUACCAAUGGUAUCAGUGGUAGGGGAGCGUUCUAAGGACAGUGAAGUCAGACCGGAAGGACUGGUGGAGUGCUUAGAAGUGAGAAUGCCGGUAUGAGUAGCGAAAGACGGGUGAGAAUCCCGUCCACCGAAUGCCUAAGGUUUCCUGAGGAAGGCUCGUCCGCUCAGGGUUAGUCAGGACCUAAGCCGAGGCCGACAGGCGUAGGCGAUGGACAACAGGUUGAUAUUCCUGUACCACCUCUUUAUCGUUUGAGCAAUGGAGGGACGCAGAAGGAUAGAAGAAGCGUGCGAUUGGUUGUGCACGUCCAAGCAGUUAGGCUGAUAAGUAGGCAAAUCCGCUUAUCGUAAAGGCUGAGCUGUGAUGGGGAAGCUCCUUAUGGAGCGAAGUCUUUGAUUCCCCGCUGCCAAGAAAAGCUUCUAGCGAGAUAAAAGGUGCCUGUACCGCAAACCGACACAGGUAGGCGAGGAGAGAAUCCUAAGGUGUGCGAGAGAACUCUGGUUAAGGAACUCGGCAAAAUGACCCCGUAACUUCGGGAGAAGGGGUGCUUUCUUAACGGAAAGCCGCAGUGAAUAGGCCCAAGCGACUGUUUAGCAAAAACACAGCUCUCUGCGAAGCCGUAAGGCGAAGUAUAGGGGGUGACACCUGCCCGGUGCUGGAAGGUUAAGGAGAGGGGUUAGCGUAAGCGAAGCUCUGAACUGAAGCCCCAGUAAACGGCGGCCGUAACUAUAACGGUCCUAAGGUAGCGAAAUUCCUUGUCGGGUAAGUUCCGACCCGCACGAAAGGUGUAACGAUUUGGGCACUGUCUCAACCAGAGACUCGGUGAAAUUAUAGUACCUGUGAAGAUGCAGGUUACCCGCGACAGGACGGAAAGACCCCGUGGAGCUUUACUGUAGCCUGAUAUUGAAUUUUGGUACAGUUUGUACAGGAUAGGCGGGAGCCUUUGAAACCGGAGCGCUAGCUUCGGUGGAGGCGCUGGUGGGAUACCGCCCUGACUGUAUUGAAAUUCUAACCUACGGGUCUUAUCGACCCGGGAGACAGUGUCAGGUGGGCAGUUUGACUGGGGCGGUCGCCUCCUAAAGUGUAACGGAGGCGCCCAAAGGUUCCCUCAGAAUGGUUGGAAAUCAUUCGUAGAGUGCAAAGGCAUAAGGGAGCUUGACUGCGAGACCUACAAGUCGAGCAGGGACGAAAGUCGGGCUUAGUGAUCCGGUGGUUCCGCAUGGAAGGGCCAUCGCUCAACGGAUAAAAGCUACCCCGGGGAUAACAGGCUUAUCUCCCCCAAGAGUCCACAUCGACGGGGAGGUUUGGCACCUCGAUGUCGGCUCAUCGCAUCCUGGGGCUGUAGUCGGUCCCAAGGGUUGGGCUGUUCGCCCAUUAAAGCGGUACGCGAGCUGGGUUCAGAACGUCGUGAGACAGUUCGGUCCCUAUCCGUCGUGGGCGUAGGAAAUUUGAGAGGAGCUGUCCUUAGUACGAGAGGACCGGGAUGGACGCACCGCUGGUGUACCAGUUGUUCUGCCAAGGGCAUAGCUGGGUAGCUAUGUGCGGAAGGGAUAAGUGCUGAAAGCAUCUAAGCAUGAAGCCCCCCUCAAGAUGAGAUUUCCCAUAGCGUAAGCUAGUAAGAUCCCUGAAAGAUGAUCAGGUUGAUAGGUUCGAGGUGGAAGCAUGGUGACAUGUGGAGCUGACGAAUACUAAUAGAUCGAGGACUUAACCAU
Molecule: ribosomal RNA, 2908 nt
Filed under: Bacillus cereus AH820
Lineage: Bacteria; Bacillati; Bacillota; Bacilli; Caryophanales; Bacillaceae
Description: bacterial LSU rRNA
Rfam family: Bacterial large subunit ribosomal RNA
Source: RNAcentral